Molecule: ribosomal RNA, 502 nt
Filed under: uncultured Glomeromycotina
Lineage: Eukaryota; Fungi; Glomeromycota
Description: partial small subunit ribosomal RNA
Rfam family: Eukaryotic small subunit ribosomal RNA
Source: RNAcentral
CCAAUAGCGUAUAUUAAAGUUGUUGCAGUUAAAAAGCUCGUAGUUGAAUUUCGGGGUUCAUCCGUUGGUCGGGCUUUUUGGUCUGUACUGGCGUGAUGGAUUCCUACCUUCUGAAUAACCGGCAUGUCAUUAAUUUGGUGCGCCGGGGAAGCAGGACUGUUACCUUGAAAAAAUUAGAGUGCUUAAAGCCGGCUAUCGCCUGAAUACAUUAGCAUGGAAUAAUGAAAUAGGACGGCAUGGUUCUAUUUUGUUGGUUUCUAGGAUCACCGUAAUGAUUAAUAGGGAUAGUUGGGGGCAUUAGUAUUCAAUUGUCAGAGGUGAAAUUCUUGGAUUUAUUGAAGACUAACUUCUGCGAAAGCAUUUGCCAAGGAUGUUUUCAUUAAUCAAGAACGAAAGUUAGGGGAUCGAAGACGAUCAGAUACCGUCGUAGUCUUAACCAUAAACUAUGCCGACUAGGGAUCGGACGAUGUUAAUUUUUUAAUGACUCGUUCGGCGCCUUACG